UGGGCAAAUGAACAUAAGGUUUUUUUGUCGAACAUGAACAUAAAAAUACUCAUUAAAUGCAGUAUUAAGUUGCCACUUUAAAUGCUUAGUUCAGGAAAUGCCAAAUUUAAGAUAACUCUCAACAUCAGUAACUCAUUCAUCUGACAUUUAUAGUCUACCUAAAGGUACCUCAUAAGGGAUCUCCUGUCUCUUAUCAGAAUUGUGGGGAGUUCCCUUCGUGGCUCAGCAGUUAACGAACCUAAGAUCCAUGAGGAUGUGGGUUCAAUCCUUGGCCUCGCUCAGUGGAUUAGGGAUUCAGUGUUGCCGUGAGCGGUGGUAUAUGUCUCCAAUCCUUGGGUCUUUGACUGGGAAGCUAAGCUGGGAGGGAGUAUUACCAUUGGUACCCUGAAUGAGGGGUUUAACUUUGUUUAUUUUAGUUGGGCUAUAAGAGCAUUUACUUGUUACUUCUCUGCUACUGAAAAUAUCCUCAAGCAUUUUUUAUUGGGCUGUCUUGAAUUGGCAACAAUUGUUACCUCUUCAGGGUAGAAGAGAGGGGAGCCAACUGUUGAAUACUUACCAUAUGCUGGAAAAUUUAUAUUUGUUCUUGCAUGUAAUAUUCAUAACAAAACUAUAAAGUGGAUGGUGGUACCUCUUAUUUUAUUUUAUUUUUUGCUUAUUAAGGCCUCACCUGAGGCAUAUGGAAGUUCCCAGGCUACGGGUUGAAUCAGCUGCAGCUGCUGGCCUACACCACAGCCACAGCAAUGCCAGAUCUGAGUUGUGCUCUGCUAUCUACACCACAGCUCAUGGCAACACUGUGUCUGUAACCCACUGAGUGAGGCCAGGGAUCUCAAAACUGCAUCCUCAUGGAUACUAGUCAGGCUCCUUACCGCUGAGCCAGCCACAGUAGGAACUUCGGUACCUUUCUUGUGAAGGACAAGACAACGUGAGGUAUCCCAGGUCUCUUAUCAGAAUCACGCCUUGGAGUUCCCGUCGUGGCGCAGUGGUUAACGAAUCUGACUAGGAGCCAUGAGGUUGCGGGUUCGGUCCCUGCCCUUGCUCAGUGGGUUAACGAUCCGGCGUUGCCGUGAGCUGUGGUGUAGGUCGCAGACGCGGCUCGGAUCCCGCGUUGCUGUGGCUCUGGCGUAGGCCAGUGGCUACAGCUCCGAUUGGACCCCUAGCCUGGGAACCUCCAUAUGCCGCGGAAACGGCCCAAAGAAAUAGCG
RNAcentral lists this long non-coding RNA (1202 nucleotides) under Sus scrofa (pig). RNAcentral describes it as "lncRNA (ENSSSCG00005044270.1)". Lineage: Eukaryota; Metazoa; Chordata; Mammalia; Artiodactyla; Suidae. The record is from RNAcentral.